Small nucleolar RNA from Brassica oleracea var. oleracea, 89 nucleotides. It matches the Rfam family "Small nucleolar RNA U31b". The record is from Rfam. Lineage: Eukaryota; Viridiplantae; Streptophyta; Magnoliopsida; Brassicales; Brassicaceae.
GAAAGUGAUGAUAAGGAAUUGUUGCCCCAGUCUUAUUUGCAUUCAUUGCGGUGGAUGCAGCAUGGUGAUUGACUACGUCUGUCUGAUUC